This 400-nucleotide ribosomal RNA is filed under the name uncultured bacterium. RNAcentral describes it as "bacterial SSU rRNA". It matches the Rfam family "Bacterial small subunit ribosomal RNA", at positions 355 to 771 of the family's 1533-position model. The record is from RNAcentral.
UAGGGAAUAUUCCGCAAUGGGCGAAAGCCUGACGGAGCAACGCCGCGUGAGUGAAGAAGGUCUUCGGAUCGUAAAGCUCUGUCAACAGGGACGAAACAAGACGGUACCUGAGAAGGAAGCCACGGCAAACUACGUGCCAGCAGCCGCGGUAAUACGUAGGUGGCAAGCGUUGUCCGGAAUAACUGGGCGUAAAGCGCAUGUAGACGGCAUGAUAAGCCAAAUGUGAAAUGUAGGGGCUCAACCCCUACACUGCGAUUGGAACUGUCAAGCUUGAGUGCAGGAGAGGCAAAUGGAAUUCCCAGUGUAGCAGUGAAAUGCGUAGAGAUUGGGAGGAACACCAGUGGCGAAGGCGAUUUGCUGGACUGCAACUGACGUUGAGAUGCGAAAGCCAGGGGAGCAA